This is a long non-coding RNA of Centrocercus urophasianus (Greater sage-grouse), 2006 nucleotides long. RefSeq lists it as uncharacterized. The record is from RefSeq and is a predicted model, not a curated record. The transcript has 5 exons. Lineage: Eukaryota; Metazoa; Chordata; Aves; Galliformes; Phasianidae.
CUUCCGUUGGCGGGGGCGCGGAGGGGGCCCGGCCGCACUGUAUGGCGCAGAUGGCCGCGAGAGGCGCAGGGCUGUAUGGAGGAGUAGCUGCAGCUGUGUCCUGUGCCACAUCAGAGGAAGGAGAGUGUCCGUGUGUCAUGUGCUCCUGAGUCCACGGAAAGGAGUGUUGUGUCUCAGCACUGCUGUUUCAGUGAGUGUGUUGUGGCUUGUGUCAUACUCCUUGACCGCAUGAAGGUGCUUUGGAGACUAGGCGACAAAGUGGUGUGUACAGCCAGUGGGUCUGCCCAUAAUACAAGAUACAGAAGGAAAAUUUUUCAUUCACCUUUACAGAUCUCCAAAAGGUGGGGACAGGGCCAAUGGAGACAUGUAAUGAAUGUCGAUAACUACAUUUAAUUUCUUUGGCAAAUGCUAAUUUGUUAUGGACCACCAUGCUGAAGAAAAAGCCAGCCCUGUGGCUCUUGUGGCAAUGUAAUUAACUGGGGACCUUCAGCUCAUAGCAACAAAAUUGGAAGCACUGAAAUUCAGGUAAUCUUUUGUGCUAAUGACAUACUUCUAAGAAGCAUCUGCAUAGCUUCAUGCCCAUAGCGCUGGGCAGAUACUCUCAUUACAAUAAAUACUGUCUAGUUCUAAAUGAAACUAGACAUUGAUUCCCAGAACAUUUUAGUGACCUAAUUGCCAUUUUAGAUUCCUUAGGUGCACCAUUUAGCACCUCAAAGCCUUUGCUCAGCUUCUGCAGAAUCUCAGUAUUACCCAGGUUUCCAGCGGUCAUGACUCAUGGGUAAGAUUAAAUAUUUGAUUAUAAUUAAGAAAAGAAGAAAUAAAGGAAGUUUAGAUUCAAUAGGAGGCAAGCUAAAGAAACAGACAAUUACUACAAAUCACUGAAGAAGGGCAGAAAAGAGCAAGGUACAGGGUUGGGUUUUUCUUUUUGCAAGGGCUGUGUAUCAGUUCUUUUGUAAGCAACCAAAUACAUGAAUUGGGCUCCAGGGUUGUUUAAUCAAUAUUUGGAUAAAUAUUAUAUUUCUGAUGCAAUCUGUUUAGCAUUAGGGUUGGAUUAAGAGGAAUUGCCUUAGUUAACUGAACAUGCAAGCAAUGUAAGCUGGCUUUCAUCCUGCACUAAAUAAAGGUUGAAAUGGGCCACAGCGACUUGGAAAGGAUGAUUUUUGGAUGAAAUACUAUGUUUUCAAGCCACUAUCACCAUCAAGAUUUAUCUAAUCUUCUUAUGAAAAUGAACAAGCAUUGUAAUGUUUUUCUUUGUACAUUUAAAUUCUCUAUUGCAUAUGGAGUUUGGCUGAAUGCUUGAAACUCUGCUAGUUCCCUGUUCUCAGACCAGACUUACUCAGGAAAACCAUUGUUUAAACAGCUCCAUUUUUUUAUUUUUUUUUCUAAGCAAUUGCAACAAGAAAACAAGACAGAAACAAGUGGAAACUUUUGAAAAUCUAGAUGUAGAAUACUUUCCUGGAUACUUUCUUUGCUCUUAAUGCUUCUUUCACAAGUGCAAAAGAGAACCCACUGCUGAAGCUAAAAAUAAAAAAUAUACAAACUUAGAUGUUCAUUUUUUUGAUCUAAUGAGAACCAAAGGAACUUGAUAAACCUAGCAAGUAGUAGUUUGAUCUGUCUUUUGCUAUUUUACAUGCUAUUUUUUUUUAAAAGCAAUAAAAAACAGCUUUGACAGAACAUUAUACUUACUGAUGUUCAAGAAUUUGUGUUAGGAACAGUUUUGGGAACCCAUGCUGCAUAGCUGAAGAGAAGUUUCCACUUGAAAUAAGUAGGCCAGAUUUUAGUGCCUCAGCUCUUUAUCAGCGCAUACUGGACAUUAAAAACAAGUGCUAUAGCAUAAAAGGGUCUUUAGCCAUUCAUUUAAUUCUCUUUAGAUUACAGUUUUUAUUGUUUUGAUCUCCAAAAUGCUUAGCAAAUGGAAAGAAACACAGUUGAAAAUACAAUUAUAUUUCUCUUGAACAAAUGUUACAAGAUGCACUUCUGAUCACAUUGUUCAUUAUUAAAUCACC